AUGACCACAGUGGCCCAUGGAGGGGGAAUAGGAGCUGUGUGGCGUAGAAACAAGGAAAGCCUCCCGCCCGGUGUGCACGGGGAGCUAGAAAGUGUGACCAGAGUGUUCGGGGCAGGGACAAAACCCAGCUUCUGGUGUCUUCUGCAAGGGGAAGAAGCCUUGCGCCCAGCGCGCCUUGUCGGAGAGGCUCCUAGGACCGGAGGGGAAGCCGCUCUGAACCGGAAUGAUCUGGUUUGGAGCGGGUUGGCUCCCUCCCUGCUCCCCCGCCCACUGCUCUCCCUCUCCUCCAGCGACGGGCUGGUUUUUGCCGCAGUCCCUGACCAAGAAAACCCUUCCAGGGGGCAGCUCAGCCUGGGGACAACCACAGAAGUGGGACCUGGGCCCAAAGACAGGUGUCACCUGAAACAGGCCACUGUUGUCCGCCUGCAGUAUGCUGGGAGGACCAGCUCCCGCUCCACCCUGCUCCCCCUGGGAGGAAGGCUGACCCCUGCGUGGGAGUGUGACUGCUGGAAAGGCAUCCUUGCUGCAGCUGUGAGUGUGAUGGGACAGCAGAGUCACUCCUGCAUGGGAUUCUAG
This 576-nucleotide long non-coding RNA is filed under the name Homo sapiens (human). RNAcentral describes it as "non-protein coding lnc-KLHDC10-1:1". Lineage: Eukaryota; Metazoa; Chordata; Mammalia; Primates; Hominidae. The record is from RNAcentral.